GGGGAAAUGGUGUAGGGGUUAUCACAUCUGCUUUGCAUCUGCGAAGUGCCUGUAGAAGGUCCGGGGUUCAAUUCCCCGUUUCUCCA
This 86-nucleotide transfer RNA is filed under the name Ophiocordyceps unilateralis. It matches the Rfam family "tRNA". From Rfam's summary of the family: Transfer RNA (tRNA) molecules are approximately 80 nucleotides in length. Their secondary structure includes four short double-helical elements and three loops (D, anti-codon, and T loops). Further hydrogen bonds mediate the characteristic L-shaped molecular structure. tRNAs have two regions of fundamental functional importance: the anti-codon, which is responsible for specific mRNA codon recognition, and the 3' end, to which the tRNAs corresponding amino acid is attached (by aminoacyl-tRNA synthetases). tRNAs cope with the degeneracy of the genetic code in two manners: having more than one tRNA (with a specific anti-codon) for a particular amino acid; and 'wobble' base-pairing, i.e. permitting non-standard base-pairing at the 3rd anti-codon position. The record is from Rfam by way of RNAcentral. RNAcentral also lists the same sequence under 1 other name. Lineage: Eukaryota; Fungi; Ascomycota; Sordariomycetes; Hypocreales; Ophiocordycipitaceae.